AACAUUAUAUUGUGAAUCUAACAACAGGAAAUAAAUCUCCUUAUUUACC
This 49-nucleotide transfer RNA is filed under the name Aethomys nyikae (Nyika rock rat). Its description in RNAcentral is "partial tRNA-His". The record is from RNAcentral. Lineage: Eukaryota; Metazoa; Chordata; Mammalia; Rodentia; Muridae.